This 1647-nucleotide long non-coding RNA is filed under the name Elaeis guineensis (African oil palm). Its description in RNAcentral is "long non-coding RNA (EGUI_LNC070905)". The record is from RNAcentral. Lineage: Eukaryota; Viridiplantae; Streptophyta; Magnoliopsida; Arecales; Arecaceae.
GUAUCAUGAUUUGCCACUUGAUUCCGAAGACCAAACUUCCCUAUGAUUUGUUGAUUCGCAUCGAUAGAACCAAUUUUGUGCCACAUACAUAGCGCGAAUCCUGAGCUUCCUGUUACCGAUAGGCAUCAAUCCAAGUCGCUGAGGGACUAAUAGUUCGCCUUUGGAAUGAAGAUGGAUGAGCAGGUUCGUGACCCGAUCUCCUGCACAGAUUCUAAAUCAAUAUGCAUUGAAUGAAGGAAUAUUCCCAGGCCAAUAUUGGGUAAGCCAAGGGUUGCGUUCACGGAUCAAGUCAUUUCAUAUAUGAUGUUCCCGAUCCUGAUGACCUGCAUACGAUGUCACGCUAGGAGAAGGAAGGCUGAUCAUAGAUCAGCUCGCCUCGCUUUGAAAAAAAUAAAUCAUCGCAACCAAAAAGACAACCAUUUGUAUUGAAAUCCGUUCGAUAGGAGGUAUAGGAUGGAACCAAAUCUGCUUCGCGAGGGUCUCAUUCGCAUGACUAAAAGAAAGCUUUAGCUAAUCGACGGCAUGCUAAGGAGAAGGAGCUUCCUUAGUAGGAAAAGAAAGGCAUGUACGUGGGAAAUGAAUCGAAGUAAUGCGAUAGAUUCGCAGGAAUGAACGAAGAAAAAGCAUUAAGACAAUUCCACAUCUUUUAUUUAUGUUAGAAGGUGCAGAACAUUAGAAGUAAGUGGGCCUCUGGCCACACUACCAACCCUCGCUACGGCUUCUUUUGAAGCUAUAGUUCUCACGCAUUCUAGCUUCAAGAUCUGGCUUGAGCUUUGAGCGUGAAGCAGCUUGCUGAGAUCAAAUGAGAUAUCCCAACCUUUGAUUGUCAAACUUGCAGUUCCCAUGAACCAAGCACAGGAUGGAUGGUGUACCAAUCAAUUUCGUUGGGAAGAUGGCAAGGAUGAAAGAAGGAUAUAGAGAGAGAGAUAGGAAAAAGAGUAUGGAAGCGAGAGCGGAGAUAUAGGCUAGCUAAAUGCCCUAAAAUCCGUGUACGAAAGGGCCCGCGAUCCUGGGCAGUACAUGGAUAACCCGGACCCACCAAGCGCUUAGGAAUGUGUUGUGAAGGUGGAAUAGAGUUUGCCAUUGAAAUGAUGACUUCUGGUGUUGUCAAGUUUGAAGGACAGAAUGCUAACGAACCGGGGCUACAGCACCUGUUUAUCUCGAAUCCCCUGAAUCAGAUGUGGGGAAAGGAGGAGUCGGAGCUUAUCAACCAUAGGAAUGCCCGAUCGACUUUACUUUACGAGCUACGAGGUCUCUUUUAGCACACUUGACUUAUCUUAUUGCGUAUACAAUAAUCACUGAGCAUACGUUGCUAAUGGGCAGGUCAAUUCUGAGAAUCGUAUCAGAGAUCGAACUGCGGUAUCUUGGCGAGGGGUGCCUCAUAUGAGUGGUUAAGAUAGGCCUUAAAAUGCAAUAAUGAGCCCAUACAAUGAGCUCGCCGCAUGCACGUUUGCAUGCGCGAGCGAGCCCCUACUGAAGCAGCACAAUGCUCCUCAUCGCUCCUAACCUUUAAACAGAGAGGAAACUCAAAACCAUAGAACGAAGGAAGCAGCAACUCCAGGAGAAAUAUAUUAAAAUAACCACACCUCCCUGCACUCGGCUUGCCCUACCGUGUCGUUAGAUGGUUUGAGUGGCUAUCAAAUGGGU